RNAcentral lists this ribosomal RNA (396 nucleotides) under uncultured bacterium. RNAcentral's name for it is "partial 16S ribosomal RNA". It matches the Rfam family "Bacterial small subunit ribosomal RNA", at positions 523 to 917 of the family's 1533-position model. The record is from RNAcentral.
AUACGUGGGGGGCGAGCGUUGUCCGGAAUGAUUGGGCGUAAAGGGCGUGUAGGCGGCCUGUUAAGUCUGAAGUGAAAGUCCUGUUUUCAAGAUGGGAAUUGCUUUGGAUACUGGCGGGCUUGGGUGGGGGAGAGGGUAUUGGAAUUCCCGGUGGAGUGGUGAAAUGCGUAGAGAUCGGGAGGAACACCAGUGGCGAAGGCGGGUAACUGGACUGCAACUGACGCUGAGGCGCGAAAGUGUGGGGAGCAAACAGGAUUAGAUACCCUGGUAGUCCACACUGUAAACGAUGAAUGCUAGGUGUAGGGGGUAUCGACCCCUUCUGUGCCGCAGUAAACACAAUAAGCAUUCCGCCUGGGGAGUACGGCCGCAAGGUUGAAAAUCAAAUGAAUUGGCGGG